Carassius auratus (goldfish) is the source of this 770-nucleotide long non-coding RNA. RefSeq lists it as uncharacterized. The record is from RefSeq and is a predicted model, not a curated record. Lineage: Eukaryota; Metazoa; Chordata; Actinopteri; Cypriniformes; Cyprinidae. The transcript has 3 exons.
AAGACGGAGGAGGCAUUUAUGACAAAACUUGGGCCUUCUCCCCAGCGAUGGGGGGUGUCUGAGGUCAGAUGGUUCUCAUUUGAGUUCACAGCCCUGCCUGGGUGGCGUGAACUCCAUGAAGAGCUCCCCAGAGAGAAACCGAGAGAGGAAGAGAAAGGACGGCUUGAUGCCACUCAGCUGACACUCUGGGAAAACUGCCUAAUGGACAGAAGAGAGGAGGAGGAGGAGAGAGAUGGACCAAAGUACCACAGAAUCUCAGACAGGAACAGAUCUGGCUUAUGAAAAUACUCAAUAUUGCUGAAGCUGGAGUGGAAUCCCAGGAGUCCCUUUCAUGUUUGAAAGAGAAGCACACAAAAGGCACACUCAUCCUACUAGGAUUUUCCAUCUCUCCACAUGGGAAGUCUAAAACCACUGUGCAUGCCUCAGAUUCACUACAAAUAUCAUAGAUCUUUAAUUCUACUAUUGUUUGGUUUACGAUCACAUUACUGUCAGUAGACUCACAGGCCACUUCAUUUAGAUGUUUUGACAUCCCUUAAGCCUUUCCGUUUUGUACUCAGUUUUUCCAGUUGGUUCGAGAAGGCUGGCAGUCUGUGAUUAAUUACUUUUGUUUUAUUCAUUCUUAGUUUUUCUCCCGGUAUGAAGAUUGUGCAAAAAUGAACUCCCUUUGGUUAAGUUUUACAAUGCUUUUUAUUUACUUUAUGCCAUAGUGUGGUGCAAAACUGAACAUGUGUUCACAAAUAUAUGCAUGUUUAACACACAGAGCGUGUCUU